CCUACGGGUGGCAGCAGUGGGGGAUAUUGGACAAUGGGGGAAACCCUGAUCCAGCGACGCCGCGUGAGUGAAGAAGUAUUUCGGUAUGUAAAGCUCUAUCAGCAGGGAAGAAAGAAAUGACGGUACCUGAGUAAGAAGCCCCGGCUAACUACGUGCCAGCAGCCGCGGUAAGACGUAGGGGGCAAGCGUUAUCCGGAAUUACUGGGUGUAAAGGGAGCGUAGACGGUAAGGCAAGUCUGGAGUGAAAGGCGGGGGCCCAACCCCCGGACUGCUCUGGAAACGGUGUAACUGGAGGGAAGGGGAGGCAGGCGGAAUCCCUGGUGUAGCGGUGAAAUGCUUAGAUAUUAGGAGGAACACCGGUGGCGAAGGCGGCCUGCUGUACUGUAACUGACGUUGAGGCUCGAAAGCGUGGGGAGCAAACAGGAUUAGAUACCCGGGUAGUC
RNAcentral lists this ribosomal RNA (443 nucleotides) under uncultured bacterium. RNAcentral describes it as "partial 16S ribosomal RNA". It matches the Rfam family "Bacterial small subunit ribosomal RNA", at positions 338 to 795 of the family's 1533-position model. The record is from RNAcentral.